Long non-coding RNA from Fukomys damarensis (Damara mole-rat), 448 nucleotides. RefSeq lists it as uncharacterized. The transcript has 3 exons. NCBI's taxonomy places the organism in Eukaryota, Metazoa, Chordata, Mammalia, Rodentia, Bathyergidae. The record is from RefSeq and is a predicted model, not a curated record.
GGACAAACAUCCUGUCUGGGCGUGACCAGGGCGGUGGGUACGGUGGAAUCAAGAUCAAAAUUUCAAACCCCAAGUUUGAUCUUGGAGGGAGGCACCACUGACCGUUUGGGGGACCUGGGGUAUGUGACCGAACCCUUCAUGUUUUAGUUGUAAAAUAAGGAUAUACAAGCAUACCUCGGAGAUACCGCAGGUGUGGGUCCAGACCAUGGCAGUAAAGUGAAUCUUGCAAUAAAGCAAAUAUUGCAACAAGGCUAUGAAAAUAAAAUUAAAUGGAUAUGAGGUGGCUGAAGAACAACCGAAAAGUACAACAUUGAAAUUCUGUUCAAGGAGAGAUUAGAAAUUGUAGAUAGAGGAAAGGAGAAGAGGUGAGAAAAUUACCGUACAAGAACAAGGUGGACCUUGCAGAAAAGCCUGAAGAGGAUUCAGACAGGGACAUCUAGGGGCAGGG